Molecule: long non-coding RNA, 325 nt
Filed under: Mytilus galloprovincialis (Mediterranean mussel)
Lineage: Eukaryota; Metazoa; Mollusca; Bivalvia; Mytilida; Mytilidae
Source: RNAcentral
GUAUAAUUACUCAUCAAUUGAGGUGCUCCUGAAUUGGAGGAAGAUUCUAAAAACAGAACUUUACAGAAACAAUGAAAACUGCAGUUUCUCUCCCCAAUCUCAUGUAUCCUCAUUGACAUUGUUUACCGCGAAAGUUGACCUACAAAUUAUCUGAUUAUAGCCUCAGAUUAUCAUUGCAUGUUGGUGUGUGAAUCAUCUACACUACAGCAAACAUCAUUAGGUUUACAUUUAACAAAUACGGAUUUUGAAUUAGUAUACAAAUACUGUGAAUGAUAUCCCUGUGUAGUGUGGCAUUCCAACAAUGACGUCACUAGGUUAGAUAUAU